This 719-nucleotide ribosomal RNA is filed under the name uncultured bacterium. RNAcentral describes it as "bacterial SSU rRNA". It matches the Rfam family "Bacterial small subunit ribosomal RNA", at positions 59 to 746 of the family's 1533-position model. The record is from RNAcentral.
CAGUCGAGCGAGCUGAACCAGCAGAUUCCUUCGGUGAUGACGCUGGGAACGCGAGCGGCGGAUGGGUGAGUAACACGUGGGUAACCUGCCCUAAAGUCUGGGAUACCACUUGGAAACAGGUGCUAAUACCGGAUAACAACAAUAGCUGCAUGGCUAUUGCUUAAAAGGCGGCGAAAGCUGUCGCUAAAGGAUGGACCCGCGGUGCAUUAGCUAGUUGGUAAGGUAAUGGCUUACCAAGGCGACGAUGCAUAGCCGAGUUGAGAGACUGAUCGGCCACAUUGGGACUGAGACACGGCCCAAACUCCUACGGGAGGCAGCAGUAGGGAAUCUUCCACAAUGGGCGAAAGCCUGAUGGAGCAACGCCGCGUGAGUGAAGAAGGUUUUCGGAUCGUAAAGCUCUGUUGUUGGUGAAGAAGGAUAGAGGUAGUAACUGGCCCCUAUUUGACGGUAAUCAACCAGAAAGUCACGGCUAACUACGUGCCAGCAGCCGCGGUAAUACGUAGGUGGCAAGCGUUGUCCGGAUUUAUUGGGCGUAAAGCGAGCGCAGGCGGAAAGAUAAGUCUGAUGUGAAAGCCCCCGGCUUGACCGAGGAAUUGCAUCGGAAACUGUGUUUCUUGAGUGCAGAAGAGGAGAGUGGAACUCCAUGUGUAGCGGUGGAAUGCGUAGAUAUAUGGAAGAACACCAGUGGCGAAGGCGGCUCUCUGGUCUGUAACUGACGC